This 449-nucleotide ribosomal RNA is filed under the name uncultured bacterium. RNAcentral describes it as "bacterial SSU rRNA". It matches the Rfam family "Bacterial small subunit ribosomal RNA", at positions 329 to 795 of the family's 1533-position model. The record is from RNAcentral.
GACCAGACUCCUACGGGAGGCAGCAGUGGGGAAUAUUGCACAAUGGGGGAAACCCUGAUGCAGCGACGCCGCGUGAGCGAUGAAGUAUUUCGGUAUGUAAAGCUCUAUCAGCAGGGAAGAAGAUGACGGUACCUGACUAAGAAGCCCCGGCUAACUACGUGCCAGCAGCCGCGGUAAUACGUAGGGGGCAAGCGUUAUCCGGAUUUACUGGGUGUAAAGGGAGCGUAGACGGCGAUGCAAGCCAGAUGUGAAAGCCCGGGGCUCAACCCCGGGACUGCAUUUGGAACUGUGUGGCUGGAGUGUCGGAGAGGCAGGCGGAAUUCCUAGUGUAGCGGUGAAAUGCGUAGAUAUUAGGAGGAACACCAGUGGCGAAGGCGGCCUGCUGGACGAUGACUGACGUUGAGGCUCGAAAGCGUGGGGAGCAAACAGGAUUAGAUACCCCAGUACCC